CUAUCUCUCUCUCUCACGCAGUCUCUCUCUCGGACCCAUCUCUCUCUCUCACGCAGUCUCUCUCUCUCUCACGCAGUCUCUCUUUGAGGCUCUCUUCUCAAGCUCACAUUCUCCAGCUCAACACUUUGUGGCUUUGUUCACAAAAGGCUCUCUUCUCAAGCUCACAUUCUCCAAAUCUCUCUCUCA
Long non-coding RNA from Raphanus sativus (radish), 186 nucleotides. RefSeq lists it as uncharacterized. The transcript is spliced from 3 exons. Lineage: Eukaryota; Viridiplantae; Streptophyta; Magnoliopsida; Brassicales; Brassicaceae. The record is from RefSeq and is a predicted model, not a curated record.